GUGGGGAAUAUUGGACAAUGGGCGAAAGCCUGAUCCAGCCAUGCCGCGUGUGUGAAGAAGGUCUUCGGAUUGUAAAGCACUUUAAGUUGGGAGGAAGGGCAGUAAGUUAAUACCUUGCUGUUUUGACGUUACCGACAGAAUAAGCACCGGCUAACUUCGUGCCAGCAGCCGCGGUAAUACGAAGGGUGCAAGCGUUAAUCGGAAUUACUGGGCGUAAAGCGCGCGUAGGUGGUUUUGUAAGUUGGAGGUGAAAUCCCCGGGCUCAACCUGGGAACUGCCUCCAAAACUGCAUGACUAGAGUACGGUAGAGGGUAGUGGAAUUUCCUGUGUAGCGGUGAAAUGCGUAGAUAUAGGAAGGAACACCAGUGGCGAAGGCGACUACCUGGACUGAUACCGACACUGAGGUGCGAAAGCGUGGGGAGCAAACAGGAUUAGAAACCCCAGUAGUCC
This 450-nucleotide ribosomal RNA is filed under the name uncultured bacterium. RNAcentral's name for it is "partial 16S ribosomal RNA". It matches the Rfam family "Bacterial small subunit ribosomal RNA", at positions 354 to 796 of the family's 1533-position model. The record is from RNAcentral.